GAAUUAUUAAAUUUUAAUUACCAAAAAAAAAAAAUUCAGUUAACCGGAAUCGCCCCGACGCCGUUGAGACCUUGUGGCGAAGAAAAGACGCAUCCAAAGGCCAAAGCCUUAAAAAACCAUUCACGCAUAUCGUAUUUGUAGUCUGCACGCUAGGUUGCUUCCAGAAAAGCCACACUGCCCACACACGCCUCUCUUUUCCUGCCUUUCACUGUCUAUCUCUCAAAAC
This 226-nucleotide unclassified non-coding RNA is filed under the name Hevea brasiliensis (rubber tree). Lineage: Eukaryota; Viridiplantae; Streptophyta; Magnoliopsida; Malpighiales; Euphorbiaceae. The record is from RNAcentral.